Molecule: ribosomal RNA, 490 nt
Filed under: uncultured bacterium
Lineage: Bacteria
Description: SSU rRNA
Rfam family: Bacterial small subunit ribosomal RNA
Source: RNAcentral
AGGAUUAACGCUGGCGGCGUGCAUGAAACAUGCAAGUCGAGCGCGGUGUGAUGAGGGGUAACCCAAUUCACAUCUAGCGGCGAACGGGUGAGUAACACGUGAGCAACCUACCUUUGAGUUGGGGAUAGCCCUGGGAAACCAGGAUUAAUACCCGAUGUGGUCACAACAGGACAUCCUGAUGUGAGUAAAGGCGUAAGCCGCUCAAUGACGGGCUCGCGGCCUAUUAGCUUGUUGGUGGGGUAACGGCCUACCAAGGCGAUGAUGGGUAGCUGGUCUGAGAGGACGAUCAGCCACACUGGGACUGAGACACGGCCCAGACUCCUACGGGAGGCAGCAGUUAGGAAUUUUCCGCAAUGGGCGAAAGCCUGACGGAGCAACGCCGCGUGAGUGAUGAAGACCUUCGGGUUGUAAAGCUCUGUCGGAGGGAAGAACACAAUGACGGUACCCUCCAAGAAAGCCCCGGCUAACUACGUGCCAGCAGCCGCGGUAA